Molecule: long non-coding RNA, 2193 nt
Organism: Apteryx haastii (Great spotted kiwi)
Lineage: Eukaryota; Metazoa; Chordata; Aves; Apterygiformes; Apterygidae
Source: Ensembl
AUGAGAAGCUGCCACAGAGUCCUGCAGGACAAGCAUGGGGAGUUUUCUCCUCCAGCAUAUCACAGCGAUUUCCCGAUAAACUUCUGGUGCAACUGGACUAUCUGGGCAGGUUCCAGAAAGCACAUAAUCAUUUAUAUUCAGGGAUUUAUGACUAAGGAGGAUUGCAACAAAAAUGAGGACAAAAUCCUAUUUGAAGGAAUUUCUUCAUUGGUAGAGGACAGUGUGGUUUACGCUUGCUGGAAAAAGGAGAUGCACGUUUUUGCCACCUUUGCUGAGGCUGUCCAUGUUGUAUUACUGAAGACAUACCUGCCCAACUGCAGAGACACGCAAUUUAAAGGCAAAUAUUACAUCUUUCACAACGAGGAAGGUGAAUCGUCCUCCAGAGAGGAUUUGAUUCCUGAAACUCCUGCUUCAAAACCACUGAAGCGAGAUCAUAUUCUUCAGUCGGGGGUGGUGGAAGACCUUAGAGAUGUGCUGAGCUUUGCAACCACUACGAGCCUUGGGAGCCUUGACAAGCCCACRGCAGUUGACACCUUGAUCCCAGCAUCACACCAAGGGCUGAGGACGGAGCCGCUGGAAACAAAUGCUCCUUGUGAGCUGGACUCCCCAUGGCUGGUGGCUCCAGCGCCCUGUGGGCAGGAUCAAGGCAGAGGGAACUCUUGGGGUGUGAGCCCCACUGCAGCGCUGGAUACCUGGGGGCUGAGUCUCUCCACGAGCGGAGACAUCGCUGUGGAUUUUGGUUAUAUGCAUGGAUUUUCAAGCGUGCUUUCUGAAACCCCAUUGCUUGGUACCUUGCAGGGAGAGGAGCCUUUUCUGAGGACUGCUGGUGUGGGCCUGGAGAGCAGGCAGGCUUUCUUGCACCCUACUUUACAGCCCAAAGAUCUGGGAGACCCACAGUUUAAUAUUAAACCAACACGCACGAGUGACCUGGACUUGGCUGCACCUUCACAGGAUUCGUCUCCUGGCAGAGGAAAAAGCAGAGUAGAGGGCGUUGAUCCUGCCACGUACCUGGGGCUUGGCACAGUCGGGUUGGAGAAGACCAAAAGGUGUCCCCUCUUGAGCAAUGUGGCUGAUGGAGCAGUGAGCAGUCUUGCUGAGGGCCUGAUGCCUAGCUUGACUAGCCGAAAUGAAGUGGUAAAUGGGGAUCACUCACUGCUGCUACCUGGGAGAAGCUUUUUUGAGGCUUUGUCCCUGACUGAACCUGAGCUGAGAACAAGUGUCUUCCAGCAUACGACAUUCCUGAGUUUUCCUGCCCCGGGAAGUUUCAGGGGAGUUGAUGAGGUGGAAAAGGUGCUACAUUCUACAGCAUCGUGGGAUGUCCUCAAAGGCCAACCUCAGCUGAGCACCCAGAGCAGCUGUGUCCUCCAGUUAGCCCCUACAGACCCCAGGAGCAUUGGACCACAUGGUGGUCACAUGCCCCGUGUGUCCUCUUYGGGUGUAAAAAGCUGCUGCUGCCUGAGCAGCACCACGACACAGCUGCCGUUGGUUAUGCCCCUUCUGCCAGCAGCACAGGGACAUGCUCCCUCUGGGUCAGAGAUGGUAUUUUCCACCCUGGGGAUGGAAAUGACCCUUAUGCCAGUGCGCCCCAACCCAGACCCUGUCCCUGCAGAGCUGGGCGCCACCAAUUUCGCCCCGGUAGUGUCUCUGCCUGCAGAACAGCUUGUGGAGCUGUGGAUGUCGGAGCCUUUUGCUGUCUCCACCACAAAUGCUGAGGCCUUCAUGGUGCCACCAGCCCAGGAGCUCGGGGGACUUGCCAAGGAGAUGGAGCCCCCUGUGCCAUCAGCCUUCACCCUGAGCAGCUUGGAUGGGGCUUGGACCUCUGUCGCCCCAAGUGCUCGGCAAGGAGGUGACCUCGUGGGUCCCCUUGUGGCCCCUGGCUGCCUCAGCCCUGGUGUGGGAAAGCUUGUGCUGGAUGGGGAUGGAGAGCAGGGCAGCUGGAGGGGUGAAGUGUCAGCUCCCGCAGGCUGGGUAGAUGGGGGGUCCUUCCCCACUGCCAGUGCUGCUCGGCAGCAGGUUCUCAAUCCGCAGCUUGGCAUGGGGCUUCCUCAGCCAGAGGACCUGGUGGCCCCAUCCCUCCCAUCAGCACCUGUGUCUCUGCCCUCUGACCCUGUACCCCAAGGCAUAUGGAUACCAGAAGGAGSACAACAUCACAAACACCCUGGUAGGUCUUUAAUAUUUGGUAUCUUGGCAUAA